Long non-coding RNA from Homo sapiens (human), 2900 nucleotides. Ensembl annotates it as TMEM72 antisense RNA 1. Its record names the gene TMEM72-AS1. NCBI's taxonomy places the organism in Eukaryota, Metazoa, Chordata, Mammalia, Primates, Hominidae. The record is from Ensembl.
CCAUGCCAGCCACCCUACCUGUGACCCCAUCUGUGGCCCCAGUUAUCAUGGAGUAGAGCCCUUUCUCUGUCUACAAAACCAACUUCCUCGCCCAGCUCAUGGGAACACUUAUUCUGUUGUAUAGAAUGAAGUGUUGCUUGAUUCUAGAAUCAUGCCAUUAAGAACAUUCAUGAUUCAUGAGAGGAGAUCAAAAUAUCAACAUAAACAGGAGUUUGAAAGAAGUUGAUUUCAACCCUUGUGGAUGACUAUGAGAGAUUCAAGGCUUCAGUGGAGAAUGCACCUACAGAUAUGGUGGAAACAGCAAAAGAAAUAGAAUCAGAAGUGGAGCCUGAAGAUUAAACUGAAUUGCUGCAAUCUCAUGAUAAAACUUGAACAGAUGAGGAGUUGCUUCUUACAGGUAUCCACACUGCCUCUGCUACCUGCCCGUUGGUCACUCACUCAUUGUUCUGAUGAUAAGAUCGACAGAUCACAAGAAGGGACAAGGCUCAUCCCAGGAGGAUCCAUGAUGCUUUAUGAAGACAGUCCCAACAGCCCAUCUCUGUCAUCCUCCAGACGUGCCAAGGCUGAAUCAUGGAGCAAACACAGCACAGGCUCAAGCUGAGACCCUGCCAUGUGACCUCCUAGUUCUAUGAAAUACCCUUCAACAAUGCAGAAUUGACAAACCCUCCCAGAACCUGAUAUAGAUACACAUAUUUAUUAUAUAAGUGUCUCAGUAAAGAAACAAUUUUCUGUAGUGCUUAGUAGCAGACUUCUGACUCCAUAAGAUGUUUCUAAGUAAAGGUUUCUUGGUCAAGGAAUUUGGAAAAUGCUCAUAGUGUAUAUGAUUCUAGGAGACUUUGGAAACACAUUAGUGCAUUCGGAAGCCCUGCAGUAGUCUGCCGCAUGACUUAUUCCAGCUUAUCCCUACAUUAUGGAAUGCUUUUGUCACUGAAUACCUUCAGAACGCAUUUUGGGAAAACUUUUAUAUAUUCGUGGCAACCCUGGAGAAAAAACUUAGAGGUAAAGUUCCCUCUCCGAGAGGCCAUAAUAAAUGUGAAAGUGUGGAAAAGAGCCCUCAUCCUCCACCUCCAAGGCUGGUGUUCUUGCCAGGAUACCAUCCUAUCAGUUCUUUCUAAAACUCUCCUGUCCCCAGUGCAAAUACUCUCAUCAUGACAAUGCCUCACUUCAGCAGGCCUUCUCAUGGAGCUGCAGGAGUUCUUUGCAAAGUCCCCCAGCCCUGGUCUAGGAAUUGGGAGUUGCCUCACAGAUGCUUUAUUGUUAUUACUGGUUACAUGUGUGAUAUGUAGCAUACAUAUCAACUACACCUUUAACCAAUAACUUUUACUUAUUUUUUAUUUGGAGAAUGAUAUAUGCUCAUUAAAGAAAAAUUGGGGAAAAAGUUGGUAAAUAAUGAAGAAGAAAAAUUCACUUCAACCUAGAAAUAGCCCAGUGAACAUGCUGGUGUCAAGGGUGUACAUACACAUAUACAUGUUUGCAUGUUUUGGGAACAAUUUGAAACAAUAUGCAUGUUUGUUACAGUUUUGGAACUGUAACAAAAAUGCACAGUUAUAGUUAUUUAUCAUGACCUUCCUGUUUUUCUUGCCAUGAUAGGUUGUGAAGAUGUUUACAUAUCAUUAAACACUCUUUGGGAUCAUACUUUUUUUUUUUUUUUUUGAGAUGGAGUCUCGCUCUGUCACCCAGGCUGGAGUGCAGUGGCGCGAUCUCAGCUCGCUGCAAACUCCGCCUCCCGGAUUCACGCCAUUCGCCUGCCUCAGCCUCCUGAGUAGCUGGGACUACAGGUGCCCACCACCACGCCCGGCUAAUUUUUUGUAUUUUUAGUAGAGAUGGGGUUUUGCUGUGUUAGCCAGGAUGGUCUUGAUCUCCUGACCUCGUAAUCCUCCCGCCUCGGCCUCCUAAGGUGCUGGGAUUACAGGCGUGAGCCACCGCGCCCAGCCGGGAUCAUACUUUUAAUGGCUGCACAAUGCUGCCUUGUAUGAACGUGUGAUGUUUCACUCAGCCAUUGGUGGUAGAGUCAAUGCCACAGGUUCUCCAUACCAUUUCCUCUCUCUGAGCACUUGGUAAGCCUUCAUUUCCAAAUCUCCCCUGCAGUUUUGAGUUCUGGACAAUGGUUGUGGACAGAAGUUAUGGAUGCCACUUCUGUGCCUGGAGUAUCUGUCCCCUCAUCAGCAACUGUUGGUGACAGAACCACAGAUUGGGAGCAGCCUGGAUCUAAAGAAUCACUGCUUGGGAGAACUCUGCUUAGACAUGUCCAGACUACAUCAGACAUUAAGUGAGAAAUGAACCUUUGUGUGCUGAGUACCGAAAUUUCGACGUUUACUUGUUACUGCUGGAUUGCUUAGCAUACACUAACAUGUCAUCACUCUAGUUACAUCUUUGGGUUUGUUUUCAAUUUAUAUUUUAAAAAUAGAGCUUCAGUACACAUAUUAAAGCAUAAUCUUUGUUUAUAUCUCUGACUACUUUCCUCAAAAACAUCCUGCUUUUGGGAAAAUGUGUACCAAUGCAUGCACCCCCCUCUCUGCCACACACAAAGUACUGUAUGAGAAUAACCAUCAGAUCUUGGCCUCAUCACAAUUGUUCAUUGUUCUGAAAAAAACUUUUGCUAAUUUUAUAGGAAGCAAAUAGCAUCUCGUUAUGUUAAUUUGCAUGUUUUUGAUCUCUAAUAGGGUUGAAAACAUUCUUUCCUAAGGUCUUUCCAGGAAAGAGUGUGAGUGUGAUAAGAAAGCUGAAGCUGCGGCCAUAAGCAUAUCCCCACCUCUCUGGCUUCCAUGAGUCUUCUGGCUCCAUAAGGCUUCUUUAAUUGAGCCCUACCCAUGAAGAAAGGUGCCCCUUGCAUCUGUCUUACAAUUAAUUGCCUUUUUAAUAGCCUGGAAGAGUAUGGCUGUGUUUAUACAGAAAUGAAG